Cyprinus carpio (common carp) is the source of this 1744-nucleotide long non-coding RNA. NCBI's taxonomy places the organism in Eukaryota, Metazoa, Chordata, Actinopteri, Cypriniformes, Cyprinidae. The record is from Ensembl.
GUUCCUCUGCUUUACUUAUUGUUCUUCCAUGCCAUUUGUAUUGUUUAUAGUUAUGACCAUUGCUUUUGUUCUCCUGACUCCUGUUUCUGGAUGACUGUUUUGGAUUUGUCUGCAAUUGGCUUGUUUUCUCCAUAUUUUAACUCAAGCCAGUGACCUGACUUGGAGCUAUGAUUGUUAUUAGUACUUGGAGCACAGAUCAUUGGGCAGCUGUGGCCUAAUGGUUAGAGAGCCGGACUAGUUACCAGAAGGUCGCCGGUUUGAGUCUCGGUGCUGGCAGGAGUUGUAAGUGGGAGGGAGUUAAUGAACAGCGCUCUCUUCCACCCUCAAUACCCAUGGCUGAAGUGCCCUUGAGCAAGGCACUGAACCCCCAGUUGCUCCCCGGUGCUGGAUCUAUAGCUGCCCACUGCUCCGGGUGUGUGUUCACAGUGUGUUCACUUCUCACUGCUGUGUGUGUGCACUUAGAUGGGUUAAAUGCAGAGCAUCAAUUCUGAGUAUGGGUAACCAUACUUGGCAAAUGUCAUGACUUUCACUUUUUUUUUCUUCAUUGAAUAAAGACCCGCAUAUGGAAUUUAUUAGGCCUACCUAUUUCUCACAUUCUUUUAAACAUUUCCUUGUUUGUACAUUCUGUACUCAUUAAAGUCUGAUAAGAUUGUUUAGAUGUUAUAAUUUUGACUGAUAGCUUGAUGAUUUUCACAGCGUUAAGACAGGAAGUGGAAACACGUUGUGGUUUAAUGUCUCUGCACUGAAAGGCAAUCUGCAGUUUGAUCGAUGCUUUUACAGACGAAAGACAAUGGAGAAGAUCAUGCUCUUUUGUGUUUUUUCAUACAGGAUUAUUCAGAUCAGCUCCAGUGACAAGCUGACAGACAGAGAAGACAAAGUUCAGUCCGUUACAGAUCCUUCAGUGGAUGAUAAGAUCCCAGAUGCUUCAGAACAUAAUGUGACUCUGUUAAGAUUUCAGCUGAAUGAAACCAUCACUCUGAACUGCAACAUGACCCACACAUACGAAAUAGCCUGGUAUCACCAGAAUCCUGAAUCUGGACGACUAACACUGCUGAUAUUUGCUAUAGGCAGGAGAAAAGAGAUAUAUUUAAUCAAUCAAAACACUCGCGUAACAGUUAAAGCAGAUAUAAGGAGCAACACAGUCUCGCUAGUUAUUACUGGACUAAUGGAGUCAGAUUCAGGUCUUUAUUUCUGUGGAACAAGAUCAGUGAAUUCAGAAAUGUACUUUGAGAAACCCAUCAGACUACAGAUCGAGGACAAGCUGACAGACAGAGAGGACAAAGUUCAUUCUGAUUUUGAGGAACAGAAAUAACAGAAAUGAACAGAAAUGAAGUUGGGAACAGAAAUAAUUCUCUUGUCUCAUUUUAUUUCAGGAAAUCUUCAAGUUCAUUAGUGUAUAUGUUAUAAGUUAUUUAGAUUUUAAUAAUCUAAAGAACCUUUUGUCCAAUAGAAAGAUUCUGUGGAUAUUAAAGAUUCUUCACAGAACUAUCAAAUCCAAGUAAAAACUUUUUUUAAGAGUGUAACUGUUUAUGUUACUGAAUUACAAAGCUCUAGAGGAGUUCAUGAGAAAGUACAAAUGUCAUCUGUUUUUUUAAUCAGCAGUAAAACUGAGAAAUCAUGUCACAGUCAUAUUUGUGAUGGACAAAUUAUAUAAAUUCUUUCUAAAUGUGAUGUAGACCAACAGUAAAAAAUACUGUCUGUCACUAUAAAUAAACAGAAACAGGCGUGAAUGAAUAAGUGUGUG